RNAcentral lists this ribosomal RNA (300 nucleotides) under uncultured Planctomycetota bacterium. RNAcentral's name for it is "bacterial SSU rRNA". It matches the Rfam family "Bacterial small subunit ribosomal RNA", at positions 29 to 351 of the family's 1533-position model. Lineage: Bacteria; Pseudomonadati; Planctomycetota. The record is from RNAcentral.
AAUGAACGUUGGCGGCGUGGAUUAGGCAUGCAAGUCGAACGCGUGUAGCAAUACACGAGUGGCGAAAGGGACAGUAACACGUAGAUACGUACCCUCCGGUCUGGGAUAGUCCGUCGAAAGACGGGGUAAUACCAGAUAACGUCUCCGGACCAAAGGUGUGAGUCCACCGGUGGAGCGGUCUGCGUCCUAUUAGCUUGUUGGUGGGGUAAUGGCCUACCAAGGCGUUGAUGGGUAGCGGGUGUGAGAGCACGACCCGCGUCAUUGGGACUGAGACACUGCCCAGACACCUACGGGUGGCAG